AGUCCGCGGACUAUUAGCUAGUUGGUAGGGUAACGGCCUACCAAGGCGACGAUAGGUAGCCGACCUGAGAGGGUGAACGGCCACACUGGAACUGAGAAACGGUCCAGACUCCUACGGUAGGCAGCAUUAGGGAAUAUUCCGCAUUGGGCGAAAGCCUGACGGAGCAACGCCGCGUGAGUGAACAAGGUUUUCGGAUCGUAAAGCUCUGUCAACAGGGACGAAACUUUACGGUACCUGAGAAGGAAGCCACGGCAAACUACGUGCCAUCAGCCGCGGUAAUACGUAGGUGGCAAGCGUUGUCCGGAAUAACUGGGCGUAAAGCGCAUGUAUACGGCAUGAUAAGCCCAAUGUGAAAUGUAGGGGCUCAACCCCUGCACUGCGAUUGGAACUGUCAAGCUUGAGUGCAGGAUAGGCAAAUGGAAUUCCCAGUGUAUCAGUGAAAUGCUUAUAGAUUGGGAGGAACACCCUUGGCGAACGCGAUUUGAUGGACUGCAACUGACGUUGGGAUGCGAAAGCUAUGUGAGCAAACUGGAUUAGAUACCCCGGUUGUUCUAGCCGUCAACGAUGGAUACUACGUGUAGAGGGUUCCACCCCUUCUGUGCCGCAGCGAACGCA
This 615-nucleotide ribosomal RNA is filed under the name uncultured microorganism. Its description in RNAcentral is "bacterial SSU rRNA". It matches the Rfam family "Bacterial small subunit ribosomal RNA", at positions 228 to 859 of the family's 1533-position model. The record is from RNAcentral.